GGUCUGGUGGUCUAGUGGUAUGAUUCUCGCUUAGGGUACACCCUAUGGCUUAAUAUGCGAGAGGUCCCGGGUUCAAUCCCCGGCCAGACCC
Molecule: non-coding RNA, 91 nt
Organism: Xylaria acuta
Lineage: Eukaryota; Fungi; Ascomycota; Sordariomycetes; Xylariales; Xylariaceae
Source: the annotation of a GenBank genome assembly